This 446-nucleotide ribosomal RNA is filed under the name uncultured bacterium. Its description in RNAcentral is "SSU rRNA". It matches the Rfam family "Bacterial small subunit ribosomal RNA", at positions 26 to 518 of the family's 1533-position model. The record is from RNAcentral.
AGAGCGAACGCUGGCGGCAGGCCUAAUACAUGCAAGUCGAACGGAUCCUUCGGGAUUAGUGGCGGACGGGUGAGUAACACGUGGGAACGUGCCCUUUGGUUCGGAACAACUCAGGGAAACUUGAGCUAAUACCGGAUGUGCCCUUCGGGGGAAAGAUUUAUCGCCAUUGGAGCGGCCCGCGUCUGAUUAGCUAGUUGGUGGGGUAAAGGCCCACCAAGGCGACGAUCAGUAGCUGGUCUGAGAGGAUGAUCAGCCACACUGGGACUGAGACACGGCCCAGACUCCUACGGGAGGCAGCAGUAGGGAAUCUUGCGCAAUGGGCGAAAGCCUGACGCAGCCAUGCCGCGUGAAUGAUGAAGGUCUUAGGAUUGUAAAAUUCUUUCAGCGGGGACGAUAAUGACGGUACCGCAGAAGAACGCCCCGGCUAACUUCGUGCCAGCAGCCGC